AUAUGUUUGUUAGCCAUUCUUAUAACGCGCCCGAUCUCGUCUGAUCUUGGAAGCUAAGCAGGGUCGGGCCUGGUUAGUACUUGGAUGGGAGUCCAUUUUAUAUUUGAUUGCACCUAUU
Molecule: ribosomal RNA, 118 nt
Filed under: Prolemur simus (greater bamboo lemur)
Lineage: Eukaryota; Metazoa; Chordata; Mammalia; Primates; Lemuridae
Source: RNAcentral